ACCACUACACCACCACCAUACUACACCACGCCACAACACUACCACACCACUAAGGCACACCACUACACCACUACACCAGAACCCUACCACACCACUAAAUCGUCCUACCACCCUCCAGUUCUUUCCUAUGAAUCUCCCAAGUCUUCAUAUUCUUCUCACCCCACCAAGGCGCCGACCUACCACUCCCACACACCCAAAUCCUCAUAUACAAAUUAUAAAGCCCAUACACCAGUCUACAAACCCCACAGAGUCCAUCCCGCCCCUAAAGGCAGAAGUUACGGCAAACCCAGACCCAGGCCACGUCCCCGGUACUCUCAGAAGGCUGUUGUGAGGCCCCUGCCCGACAAACACUUGCCGAGUAACUUCCAUACACUAGUGAGGGACUUGAUUCAAAGCAGCUCCCACGGACAGAGGUCUAAGGCGCAUCCAGCAUCAUCUCAUUCUACGUACUACGCCAGCGCGCCAGGUUCCCGUCCUGCUAGAGUGGAUGUGUUCAAAAUAGUACCUGCGGUCGCUAAAUCACACAAGUCUGGUUACACCACCCGCCACGUGUACAGCCACCCUAGGCACUAAGCGGCCCCUCUCUCCUCCCCCGCGUCUGAGGAACAGGACGGGUACGGGAGUGAGGCAUCAGGGCAUCAGGGAACCAAAGAGAGGAGUCAUCUUUCUUCCCUCCAGGUGUUCUCUCCGUCACUACAUUACUCCCGCAGUCCUCCUCGGUAUCAACGUGGUGGUGAUGAUCCUCCCCUCUCUCCGCCGCUGCUGUGUUAUGGCGCUACCGUUACGAACUGUUACCAUUAACUUAUUUAUUCCGUGUUCCUUUCUUCUGGUAGUGGCAUAUCGGGGAUGGUAGUGCGUGGUGGAGUGUUGCACGCAGGAUGGGACUGAUAACUAUGUGGCCUUGCAUUUAACCCUUUCAUUGCUAUUGACCAAGUCUUUCCUUAAUCAUAAACCGCCCUGAGACGUUUAAUUGUUAUGUUCGAGUCACCUCUUAACAUUGUGCUGGCUAGAAAGCGGAAAAUCUAGUCUCCAAAUCCCUUGUCUCUGUCUUGUGGGUGAUGGUAAGGAUUUCGGUACCAUGCUUCUGAUGUGAAAGGGUUAAACUCUCAUUUCUACACUGUAAACGAAAAUGCGAUGAUUCAGAAGAUACCUAAAGCUUGAAGUGCCAUCGUACAGUCUCCGAGUUGCCUCCAACACUCCACGCCUUGCACGCAAUGCUAUCUCAACACUGUUCAUCAUGUAAACCAUGAGAUGAGCGGCAUUUUAACACAAUUCGGCCAUGACUAUCGCACAACUAACAACAAUUUGCUUAAAAUAAAAUUCAGCAUCGAAAUCUCCCGAGUGAAAUUCCAUGCCCAGUCAAUUCUGAAGUGCCAUGUAAAUAAUAAAUGUGUACGUAGCCUUUGAGACACAUGACGACACAAAACAGCCUGAUUGUGUCGCGUCCCUGUGGCUGCAUACGCUUCAUCACUCUCUAUGAGAAGCAAGGACACGAGUCUUUUUUGUAUAUCAGUUAGAACAUUUCUCACUUACCAUUAGUAUUCAUAGUGUAGUGAAGACCUCUUGUAAAUACCACACAAAAGAAUGAAAGGAAGGAAAGUUGCAAUGAGUGCAGGCGACGGUCGGACCAUUGUGACGUGACCAAUACUGUCUACCUCUGCUUUGUAAGAAUAGCCGAACAAAAAUC
This 1687-nucleotide long non-coding RNA is filed under the name Portunus trituberculatus (swimming crab). Its description in RNAcentral is "uncharacterized LOC123520055". The record is from RNAcentral. Lineage: Eukaryota; Metazoa; Arthropoda; Malacostraca; Decapoda; Portunidae.